This 791-nucleotide ribosomal RNA is filed under the name uncultured marine Prymnesiales. Its description in RNAcentral is "SSU rRNA". It matches the Rfam family "Eukaryotic small subunit ribosomal RNA", at positions 53 to 852 of the family's 1831-position model. Lineage: Eukaryota; Haptophyta; Prymnesiales. The record is from RNAcentral.
GCAUGUCUAAGUAUAAGCGACUAUACUGUGAAACUGCGAAUGGCUCAUUAAAUCAGUUAUGGUUUAUUUGAUGGUACCUACUACUUGGAUAACCGUAGUAAUUCUAGAGCUAAUACAUGCAGGAAGACCCGACUUCGGAAGGGUUGUAUUUAUUAGAUAAGAAACCAAUCCAGCUUGCUGGUUGCGUGCCGAGUCACAAUAACUGCUCGAAUCGCAUGACUUUACGUCGGCGAUGGUUCAUUCAAAUUUCUGCCCUAUCAGCUUUCGAUGGUAGGAUCGAGGCCUACCAUGGCGUUUACGGGUAACGGAGAAUUAGGGUUCGAUUCCGGAGAGGGAGCCUGAGAAAUGGCUACCACAUCCAAGGAAGGCAGCAGGCGCGUAAAUUGCCCGAAUCCUGACACAGGGAGGUAGUGACAAGAAAUAACGAUACAGGGCUACAUCUAGUCUUGUAAUUGGAAUGAGUACAAUUUACAUCUCUUAACGAUGAUCAAUUGGAGGGCAAGUCUGGUGCCAGCAGCCGCGGUAAUUCCAGCUCCAAUAGCGUAUAUUAAAGUUGUUGCAGUUAGAACGCUCGUAGUCGGAUUUCGGGGCGUUCCGACCGGUCUGCCGAUGGGUAUGCACUGGCCGGAGUGUCCUUUUUGCCGGAGACCGUGCCUACUCUUAACUGAGCGGGGGCGGGAGGCGGCACUUUUACUUUGAAAAAAUCAGAGUGUUUCAAGCAGGCAGCUCGCUCUUGCAUGGAUUAGCAUGGGAUAAUGAAAUAGGACUUUGGUGCUAUUUUGUUGGUUUCG